AUGUGGACGAAUCACGUCUUAGUAGCGGCAAUUGUACUCGCGGUUGCCACCGUCUGUCGAGCGGAGUGUCAGACUCGUUCCGUUUAUUGCUACGAGUGCGAUUCGUGGACAGAUCUCCGAUGCAAGGAUCCUUUCAAUUACACCGCACUUCCUAGAGAUCAACCACCUUUGAUGACAUGUAAGGGGUGUUGCGUGAAGAUGGUUCGAAAUGCAAAAUCGGCGUAUGAAAGCGUGAGGCGGACCUGCACGUCGCAAUUACAAAUAAACUUAUUCAUGGUGGACCACGUGUGCAUGAUGGAAAGUACCGGCACUGGUCACAUGUGCUUCUGUGAGGAGGAUAUGUGCAAUCACGUCUCCCCGACCUCGUGUUCGAAUCCUGUACUCCUGUUAAUCCUAAUGACCAUCCUUAUACUACGCUCGGUCGUGUUAGGGACCCCAGCUUGCUUUGUAGAUCGUUGCAAUGGUCAUGUCGUAUAACCCUGAGUUACUCGAUUCACACGUCAAUGGUAUCGAUCAUAUCCCUUGUAAAGUUUUAUUUUCUUAUUGUUAGUCGGCAACUAGGGCUCUCGACAUCGGGACGAGCGAUCCACUACAGUCACGUUCACGUAAACGGUUGGCUUAAACGUACGCUGUAUCUCUUUCCACGUUUGUAAAGAGGUAAGAUAUAAAUAAUUCGUAAAAGGGAGAAGGAUCGAUUGAUCAUUAAAAAUUGUGUCAAAUUCAUCUGUUCGUUUAUUACAUUUUAUUAAUCAUGGAAAUUGAUACGAUGAAUUUGUAUCGAUGAGUAUCUUUCUCUUGCACUCCGUAUCGCUCAUCCCGAUCCUUCUUGUUGACAUAGACAGUAAUGAAUAACCGCGAUCUGGUUUUAAGUAGUUAAUAGUUAUUGAACUCUAUCAUACACGAUUUUAUCGCGUAUACUCUUAUUUUGGUUGACAAUUCCUUCGGAUUAUUUCUAUAAAACUAACUGCAGGCUUUAAUCUCGUUCCAUUUCGAGUGUUUGAAUUUAUGAAACUGCUUGAAUUAAACUCGGACUGCCAGAAAAUUAUACCCGUAAUUAUAGAAACAUAUGUUUCUAAAUGAUAUUAAUUCUUUUAUAUCUUUCAUUUACUCUAUUUUAUAUAAAUCGUAAUGCAUACAGUGCAAAGUCGAUUAGAAUUGUCAACUAUUAAUCUAUAUGUUUGCAACUAUUGAUUUUCGUAGCAUUCGGAGCAUUUGAUUAUAAAAAUUUGUUCCUUUUCUCCAUUGCCAUUUAUCGUUAAAGAUAUGUAGCAUUGUUUUAUAAUCCCUAGACGAUCGAAUAGUAAUGCUCUUGAUAUCUAUCGAUGAAUCAGUUUGCUAUCAUAUUGUGGUAUGUGGGAAUGUUUUUCACUCAGAGUUUUCACUGGCUUGUUGUUUAUCUCUGUUCCGUAUCAGAUUCGCCAUGUUUUAAUGCGAAGAGAAAUCGUGACGUUACGUAGGUAUGAUACAUUGCAUUUGUUCGAUCAUUGUAGCACUUAAACAUGUUAAUGUAUGUCUUAUUUACUUUACACAUUUUCCACUUUCCCACUGUGUGCACAUCUUGCACUGGGAGUAGUGGACCUUCUCCAAAGAUAAUAUUGAAGUGACGAAGAAUAAUUGUGUCGAGGCACGGAAACAGGUCCGAUCACAUAUUCGUUUUAAUAAUUUAACGCAUAGAAAUCGAUCGUUGGAGACUUUUCGCAGAGUUCAAUUUAGAAUCGAUGUAUUACAUUCAAUUUAGCAGAGAUUUGAUAAGCAACACUUUUACUAUUUGAAAAUUAAGUCUUUAAUCGUUUCAUUGUUUUUAAGAACCGUACGAUAGUGUUUAAAUACUAGAAAUUAACUUUAUAAAUACCACUUAUUAAGGGAACGUUGAAGAAUCAAAAUCAAGAUUGAUUGAAAAAAUGCAGUGCACAAUACACAACAUUCGAUAUCUAUGCAUAUAUUUUGAUUCUAAUUCGAUCGAACGUAUUUUAUAAGCGUUAGCAUUUUUAUGUUAUUCUCUAUUUCCUGUUAUGCAUUCAUGUUAUAAUGAUUGUCGUACUCUACCCCAUUGUUCUUCGUCACUAAUACCCCCUUGCCUAUUUGUCGUUCUUGACGAGACACUGGUGUUUCGAGUACUAUGCACCAUAAGACUACGAAACAGGAAUAGUACAGACGGAGCUUAAGGUAGACUACAGUCAAGCCGCAUGGUUUCAGCAUGAACAUCAACGCCAACAACGUUACGAAAGAGCAGCGACUACGGCCAGCAAGUAUCUACAGCAGCAUUUUCGAGUUCUAGGUUUACUUCUGUUUGAUAGCGCGUGUGUGCCUUUCAUAAUUUUCGAAAGCUGAUUAUGAUAAGAAAGAUAACAUCAGUAGCAUAGAAUCAUUAAUGGAUAAUGUUAGCAAUAUUGUAUUCAUUUUUAACGAACUUUAUGUUGGCUGAAAUUUGAAUGUCAAUUGUCGAAGGCAUUCGCGCGCUAAUGUAUCACAGUAGUGUUAGCGCGUUUUACAAUCACAUAUCUGGCAGAAGUAUAUGCUCACGCGUAGAAAGAAGAAAGUUUGACUGCAUGGAUUGUAGCACUUUGAAUAAUCAGUAUAUUGAAAGUUACGACAGCGGAUACUUCAAGACUGAUUGUUUUACAGUUCGAUGAUUCAUUGUCUACUGUACGACGUCUCUGAAGACUUUGUGUUCUUCCCUUUUCCUUUGUCCUGCGACUUUCGCCCAUGCAGCAACCCCUUGCAUGACAUUUGCAUGAAACUGUUGAUAGUAUUAUUGCGGAAGACAAGGAAAUCCAGAUCCGUAGUCGUUGCUUCGAUAUGAAACAGAUCCUCAAAUAUCGAUUCGAACAUUUAUAAGUAUUCUGUUUGUAUUUCUUUAAAAAUGUUGAAAAGACCUUUGAGUUAAUUUUUUAAGCAGACAUAGUUUCUCUCGAUAUAAAAAAAAAGACAAUAUAAACAGAAGACCAAGUAUAUUUCUAAUGCCAUAAUAACGUGAUAGUCUGUUUCUUGAUUGAGGCCCGGCUUAAAACAUUAACCCGAACACGAAACCUUCCAUUCCGACGAAUGCAACGCGAGGUAGAUCGAACUAAUAUAAAAAGCACAACGUGGGCCUUCAGCUUCGAUCGUGCCACGUCAUUGCGCGCAUCGGUGAAGAUUUGUAAGGGCUUUAAGGCUUUCGGAAAUCGUGCGACACAUAAUGUGAUACUCGAUCAACGCAAGGCGACGUCUACUCGUGAGAUCGUAGCUUUCGAUCACGCAGAAUGAUAUUUCAGGGUAUGGCUGGCACGUCCAAGUUGAACGCGCAUGUCCUCACAGAAAGGCUUCCGCUGUGGAGUCUCUUGCCAAACAAGCGUCGGUGGUUGCAAUUAAAAGCGAGCUAACCGGUGUUUCUCUGGCAAGCCAUGCGGCUCGUGUCGCGUCAUUUGUUCAUUGUUGCACGCGCGGCUGCGAGGCUACUUUUCUCGCGCGUCUUCUAUUCAUCUGACCACUUUAUUUUAUUUCCAGUUUGUCAUUGCCCAACUGCGAAGAAUUUUUAUUCGAAAACACGAAGAUCUUAGCAGACAGAGCAACGAUGGUGCAAUGACAACACUGUAUUAGCAUGUAACAAAUGAAUCUACAUUUUUAAGUUUUGCCUCGCAGCUGGAAAGAAUCCACAUAGCAGCAAUACGAAUAUAUGCGUGCGAAGCAAUUGCGGUGAUUUUGCUAAGACCAAAUUCUUAAGUAGUACGUUUGAAGGACCAGAUUUAUCCAUCUCGAGCAGAGUCGAUUUGGAAAGAGGGAUGAGAAACACGAGAUCGAUACUCUUUCGUCCGCCUAUUUACACAAAAGCUCAUAUCCAAUGUGCUUGCAUAAUUUACGAGGAAAUUACUAUUGAUGUACACUCUGUCUGUUACAAAUUGAUGUUUACAUGCGCCGAGAUGUCAACUUACGUAUCGAUAUGUUCUACAUUUUUUAUUUCGAUGUUAACGAACAUUGGGCAUAACUGAAUGGUGUAUGGCGAUUACAUUUUACGAUUUAAGAUGCAAGUGUCAAGAAUUCCCCUCUGUCUCGUGUCAGUGUCUAUCGAUUUGUAUGAUCGUUGCCCCGAGAUUCGUUGAUUUUUCUAUUCACUUGGCUCUACGUUGAUGUCAGUUUCAUUGAUUUCAAGAUAAUUAUGUAUUAGAAUAUAUUCGAUGGCAUGAGGCGAUGUUCUGUUAGCAAAGUAGUAUUUUAAAUUAUACUUUAGCACGUAAUAUUGUUGUCCCCAGUUUGCUCCAAACGGUUGCCUUAACAUAUUACAUUUCACAUUAAUUUAAAGGGUGUUCUUAUAAUUUUAACUGACAAUGUAUACAAAAGAAAGAAGCGAUCGUCGGAUUCACAAAAUUUUGUUGAAAUUUAUCCGGUGCUUUUUAUUCUGCUUAAUAAUUCUGUGCUAAUUUAACCCUUUAUGCUCAAUUAAAUGGAGAUUAAUUUAUUAGAAAGUAAUUACUAAAUACUAAAUACAGACAUAAGCAAUUAACAAUUUAUCUCUGAUUUCCUUGUUUGAGAAUUUAAGCUCUAACUUCUCUCUCACCACGAUAAACGCGGCAAAGGAUCUUCAAUUCGACAAAAUGUUUUAUAUAGUUUUAUACGUAAAAUUAUUGUUUUGCACUAUCGCAGCCUUUUCACAAAAAGGAGAGUCAAACUCGUAAAGGAGAAAGUAGAAUGAUGCACGUAUCGUUGCCUCAACGGAGUAAAUACAGUAACGGAUAAGAAUGAUUGGAAAUUAAUUUUGAAUAGUUAAGCUCUGUUUAAUGGGGAGCGUUUUAAUAAGAAGUAUAGGGUAAAGUUUCUACUAAGUUAUCUUAGAAUACAUAUAUUAAUUUCCUACUAAAUGUAUUAUAGUACAUUAGUGAUAUCAGAUUAAUACAUGUGUAGAAUAGCGUUAAGCAGUGCUUAGCUAUUAUAAAAGAUCAGGUCUGAAAGCGUUACGCUAAUAUCAAGUACGGUGUGUGAAGAAAUGCAUAUUUUGGUACAAAUAACAUGGGUAAUUUGUUAUUGUAAAAUUGAACACGUGCAAAAUUAGAUUCUUCAUCAAAUCGAAACACAGAAUAUCGGAGGAAGAUGUAUGUAACAUAAAUAUUUUCAACGAUCUCUCAUAUCGUAUAUGAUUACGUAAUAUACAUACUACCCUUCGCGAAUGGGUGAAAUCCUAAAGGGGUUACUUGAAAAUGAUAUGUUAUAAAUCAUCACGAAUGUAGUUAGAAAUGUUAAAGAGAAAAAUAUAUGGAUGUUAUAAAUGUAAUAGGACGAAAGUGUUCAGAAUUAGAGAGAAGCGAAGCGGUGAUAGACGGUUGUAAGGGCAUAUUAUAAUUUAAUAAUUGUUAAUACGAUUAAAAAUGGCGUAUCGGAUCGAGAGAACACGAGGAUGUUAUACCGUUGCAAUUGUUAACGCGAAAUUAUUAAAUAGACUAUUAGAUGAAAAAGAGUGACACGUCUGUUCAUAUAUUAUUCAAUGCAAAUAUAGGUACAUAUCACAUGAAUGUAUGUGUAUGUUUCUCCUUUCUAUUUAUAUUAUUCCGAAAAAAUUGUGUUAUGUCGAAGCGAUAUUUUCUUUAAUCAAAUUAACGAAAGAAGAAUUGUUAAGGUGCUAAACUCCAUAUCCGUGCGAGAUUUUGUUUACCCUAGCCAUUCUAGAACUAGUCACUACUAUCAUAAUAGGCAUGAAUGUAUUUCUUUUUCACAAAUUACUGGGAGUAAAAAUAAUCAUGGCCUAGAUUGGUCAGAUUCAUUGUCAUGUCUUGUUCAUAACUCGCAAUGAAAAUACGUUAUUGAAUUGAAUGUCGUAUGAGAAUGUA
Molecule: RNA transcript, 5798 nt
Organism: Ceratina calcarata
Lineage: Eukaryota; Metazoa; Arthropoda; Insecta; Hymenoptera; Apidae
Gene: qvr
Gene name: glycosylphosphatidylinositol-anchored protein quiver
Exons: 5
Source: RefSeq, a predicted model, not a curated record